RNAcentral lists this ribosomal RNA (395 nucleotides) under uncultured bacterium. RNAcentral describes it as "partial 16S ribosomal RNA". It matches the Rfam family "Bacterial small subunit ribosomal RNA", at positions 523 to 918 of the family's 1533-position model. The record is from RNAcentral.
AUACGUAGGGUGCGAGCGUUAAUCGGAAUUACUGGGCGUAAAGCGUGCGCAGGCGGUUUUGUAAGACAGUGGUGAAAUCCCCGGGCUCAGCCUGGGAACUGCCAUUGUGACUGCAAGGCUGGAGUGCGGCAGAGGGGGAUGGAAUUCCGCGUGUAGCAGUGAAAUGCGUAGAUAUGCGGAGGAACACCGAUGGCGAAGGCAAUCCCCUGGGCCUGCACUGACGCUCAUGCACGAAAGCGUGGGGAGCAAACAGGAUUAGAUACCCUGGUAGUCCACGCCCUAAACGAUGUCAACUGGUUGUUGGGAAUUUAUUUUCUCAGUAACGAAGCUAACGCGUGAAGUUGACCGCCUGGGGAGUACGGCCGCAAGGUUAAAACUCAAAGGAAUUGGCGGGG